Molecule: transfer RNA, 71 nt
Filed under: Stegodyphus mimosarum
Lineage: Eukaryota; Metazoa; Arthropoda; Arachnida; Araneae; Eresidae
Rfam family: tRNA
About the family: Transfer RNA (tRNA) molecules are approximately 80 nucleotides in length. Their secondary structure includes four short double-helical elements and three loops (D, anti-codon, and T loops). Further hydrogen bonds mediate the characteristic L-shaped molecular structure. tRNAs have two regions of fundamental functional importance: the anti-codon, which is responsible for specific mRNA codon recognition, and the 3' end, to which the tRNAs corresponding amino acid is attached (by aminoacyl-tRNA synthetases). tRNAs cope with the degeneracy of the genetic code in two manners: having more than one tRNA (with a specific anti-codon) for a particular amino acid; and 'wobble' base-pairing, i.e. permitting non-standard base-pairing at the 3rd anti-codon position.
Source: Rfam by way of RNAcentral
GCCUUCGUGAUACAACGGUAGCACACUUGGCUAAUAUACAAGAAGUUCAGGUUUGAGUCCUGGCGAGGGCG